Molecule: transfer RNA, 50 nt
Filed under: Poikilacanthus macranthus
Lineage: Eukaryota; Viridiplantae; Streptophyta; Magnoliopsida; Lamiales; Acanthaceae
Description: partial tRNA-Leu
Source: RNAcentral
ACCCUCACGAUUUUGAAAGUCGACGGAUUUUCCUCUUACUAUAAAUUUCA